CGCGUAGGUAACCUGCCUUGUAGCGGGGGAUAACUAUUGGAAACGAUAGCUAAUACCGCAUAACAAUGGAUGACCCAUGUCAUUUAUUUGAAAGGGGCAAAUGCUCCACUACAAGAUGGACCUGCGUUGUAUUAGCUAGUAGGUGAGGUAACGGCUCACCUAGGCGACGAUACAUAGCCGACCUGAGAGGGUGAUCGGCCACACUGGGACUGAGACACGGCCCAGACUCCUACGGGAGGCAGCAUG
Molecule: ribosomal RNA, 246 nt
Filed under: uncultured bacterium
Lineage: Bacteria
Description: partial 16S ribosomal RNA
Rfam family: Bacterial small subunit ribosomal RNA
Source: RNAcentral